Molecule: long non-coding RNA, 576 nt
Organism: Eubalaena glacialis (North Atlantic right whale)
Lineage: Eukaryota; Metazoa; Chordata; Mammalia; Artiodactyla; Balaenidae
Exons: 3
Source: RefSeq, a predicted model, not a curated record
AAAGAGGCAAGAAAAAGUCUCUUGCCUCUUCAGCAGUUCCAGACUUUUUCCCGGACUCCCUCCCGGCCAGCUGUGGCGCACUAGCCCCCUUCAGGCUGUGUUCACGCCGCCAACCCCAGUCCUCUCCCUGCGAUCCGACUGAAGCUCAAGCCUCAGCUCCCAGCCCCCGCCCGCCCAGACAAGCCUCUCGGGCUGAAUUUUACUUCAGGUUAAGAUGCAGAAGGUUGUGACAGAUCAUCGCUCUCACCAGAAAAAUUAUAAAAAUAUGGAUUAAAUAAAAAUUCCUGUGUUUCAACACACUGGAGAGCUAUGAAUGAAAAGAAUCUAAAGACUCCGAGAGAAGAAUAGACCCUUCCUGGUUGAGCAGAGACCUUGGACUGCUUUUCUCCUGGGAACCCUAGCUGAGUUUACACAGAAAGAAUCUGCUGGGGUGCAUUCAGAUGUCCACUGAGGCUGCAGUCAUCUGAAGGCUUGCCUGGCUGAACAUCCAAAUUGGCUCAAUCAUGUAGCUGGCAAGUGCUGCUAAACUUCUGCUGGGAGCUCCACUGACUACUCACACCCUCUCCAGUGUGGCGC